GACUAUCCCUCCAAAGUCCAAACAGAAUAAUUGAUUUUAUUUUAAAAUAGAAAAAAGUACUAAUGUCCAAAAAUAUCAAAUGCUCUCUUCGCUAGGUUUCUUUGCUCCAAUAGUAGUUAUUUGCUGCGUUUCUUCUCCAUAAAAUUCUCAAUAUUUUCUCCGCUCAAACAUUCUCACAAUCUCUCAAAUCGCUCAAAUCACAACAUGUGAACCACUCGGUAGAGACAACUUAAAAGCCCUAAUCGCACAUUGUGAAUUGUAACUCCAUCCGGAAUAGCCGAUCGUCUAAAGCCAAAGAAGGAAGGAGGAAGAUUCAAAGUUUGAAAAUCAUUGCGAAGGUAAGCUGUUCGAAGUUUUGAAGGACCGUAAAGAAGAUGGAUAGCUUUUGUUGACCCAAUUCUCCGAUUUGGCUGAUGCAUUUGGAAAUCCACUAGCAGAAGCAGAGCUAUUCAAACAAGCUUACAGAAAUAGGGAUGGUGUUGUUAGCUUGGAUGAGUUAGCCGCAAUUCUAGCUAUACAACAAGAAAGGUAAGCUCUCAAAGUUUCAAUGCCUUUAUGUAAUCAUAUUUUCUUUUAGUACUACUGCUCUCAAUAUUCACAUAUAAAAUCUCACCACCUAAAUUUGUAUUUGUCCAUAUCUUUGUGCUGAGGAAUGCUUGUAAAUUGUUGUGACGUGUGAUUGCUAUUUGGUUUACUUAAUUAACGGAGGGUAGUGGUUGCAUUGUGUAACUUCUUUUGAAACUUUUUGUGUAGUGCCUUCUAAAUUUUCAGGCAAAUUUUCCUAAGAUUACUGCGUAGAAAAUAGAUUUUUUGAUGCUAGAGUGUGGGGUAGGUUUGUUCUAAUGCUUUAAUCUUCCAGCAUCAUCAAUAGUACUGGCUGCUUUUUCUGCUUCAUGCAUUAUCAUCCUCUAACUGAUUAUUACAUGUUCAUUUUAUAUCUUUGUUUCUGGUGUGCUUUUCGCAUUUGGCUUCUGGCAAAGAAGAGUUAACAGACUACCUUGGUGACAAUGAAUAAUGUAAACGAAAAUAUAUUCUCGUGUUUAUUUUCAAAGAGUUCAUAUGGACACUGUUCCUCAUCUUAUGAUGUAUUACUUCCGGAUUUGUUUCUAUGAAGCAAAGCGGUUAUGCUACAUUCAAACUGGAUUCCUCUGAGAAGGUAUAGAAAUGGUGCCUAAUCAUUUUUCCAAUUUCUCGAUUUAUCCGGUGGAAGAUAUACCAUUGCUCACAGUCUUACGUUAUUUUAUACAGGAAGGAGAAAAGUCCUAUGAGAAGUGCUAUUUGGUUCACAUAUAAGAGUACAUUCUUAUGGUUUCUCAAAUUUUUUGAAGGAAAAUGGUAUCUGUUAUGUUGAAAAUAAUACAAAAAAUCAUUUUGCCUUUUUUUGGGCGGCGUGCUUACCCGGAUAUUUAUUCUUAAUUGUAGUUGUAUAUGUGAGUUUGGUGGCAUGUAAUAUUAGUUAUGUUUAAUUGUUGUCUCUUUUUUCUUGUCAAGCAAUUAUAAAGAUUUUUGACUUACCAUUGAAGCUUCCUCUUUACUUGUGAAAAUGGUACAUAACUCUCAUUUACAAUGUUGAAUACCUCUUAGACAUAUGUGACGUGCCUUUAAAUAAUGCAAAGGCCCGAGCAUGGCGCGGGCACUCUCAUCUAGUUUAUUUAUGAAGGAAAGUGAAACCAAAAGAUGGAACCUGCUUACUGCUUUUGAAAUGAGCCUUUUAUAGUUUUACAAGUAAAAAAUACUUGUCCUACUUUUUAUUGAUGUUGUUUCUCAAAUAUAGUUUGAGUUUCUUACUUUAAUGGUUUCAAACAUUGAAAAUUAUUGAGUAUGAACUGAAUCAAACAGUUACAAGGGUUUGGUGAUGGGACCUGCAUAUUUUUCCAUCUUGCUCCAAUUCCAGAUGGUUAUUUACUUUUUGUUUUAUUAGUUAUAUAUCAAUUCUUUGAAGGAGGAGUUAACUUUCUAAAUACUGAUAACACGGUAAGCUGUCAAGAAAUGUUGUAAGAUUAGGAACUAGGAAGAGAAAGAGAUACUUUUCAUGGUAAAAACGAUGUCUAAUUGAGUGUCAUGGUUUAGUUCGCUGCAUUUUUUAUUAUACAAUAGUAUAAAUUUUCAUGUCUCAGUUCUAAGUAUUUCACAAAUAUAGUUCAUGAUGCUUAUGUCUUUAAUUUCAUAAAUAAAAUCAGUAUUGAAGUAGAACCGGUGCUUUACUGACUAUAUUUGGCAUGAAUAUCAAACAUAAUGUUACAUUUGUGUUUAGGAUAAAUCUGAAGUUUGUGGCGGGCUGCGAAAUCAUAAGUUGCAAGCCUUUGUGAUCAGCACUAUGCAGAGGCUUUUUAGAGCAUGGAAAGACGAGUUGCAAAUGAAUAUGGAACAAGAGUUGCAAAGGAGGUUGGAAGAGGAGCGUGAACAAGUGGAUAUAGAACAAUAAGCUGCUUUGAUGACCCGAAUGCAACAGGUCCAAGGUCCAAGGUUCAUAAACAAUGGUGUGGACCAAGGAGGAGUUUGAAGGCACUUAAUGUUUUUUUUUCAACAUAUGUAUAUGCAUAGAAUGAAAAUUAAUAAUAAAGUAUUGUGUGAUCUAUAUUGUAAUUGACUUUUUAGUAAUGGAAGUAAUUUUAAUAUUUUGUUUGAGAA
This is a non-coding RNA of Nicotiana tabacum (common tobacco), 2631 nucleotides long. The record is from RefSeq and is a predicted model, not a curated record. NCBI's taxonomy places the organism in Eukaryota, Viridiplantae, Streptophyta, Magnoliopsida, Solanales, Solanaceae.